UAAUGACUGGCUACACUCUGUGCAUUGA
RNAcentral lists this small RNA (28 nucleotides) under Bombyx mori (domestic silkworm). RNAcentral's name for it is "ovarian small RNA-19721". Lineage: Eukaryota; Metazoa; Arthropoda; Insecta; Lepidoptera; Bombycidae. The record is from RNAcentral.